CGCCCAUAUAUGACAGCCGUAGAGCGCCAUUGAAUUAAAUGAGUUUAUGUAAAGUCUACGAAUCUCCUCUCUUGGGCCUCCGAGGUUAGGUAGGAUAUUGUGUAAGACAUUGCAGUAACCUCUUAACCUCGGGGUCAGGUUGUCAACGUGUUUAUUGAAGACCAUCGUUUCGUCGAGGAUUACUCCGAGGACUCUCCAAGUUGCUAGUUCGGCUUUCCCUAUGGCUCGUUGGAUAGAUUUACCUGCGGCUGCGACGAUUGUAUCGUCCGCGUAUCCUGUGAUUUGGAUGGCGUUCGACUGCGGUGCGCGUAGCACGUUAUCAUAUCCUAAGUUCCACAGAGGGGCUGCGAGGGUUGAGCCUUGCGGUACGCCGCAUGUUAUAUUCUUUGCCAGGAUCUUUCCUUCAGCGUCAAUUGCCAAGACUUUUCUAUCUGACAGGAUUCUCUCGAAGAUUUUACUGAUGUCAUCAAUCAGGCAAAUUGGCCUAUAAGCCGCUGGGUCAUCCGGAGAUUUCCCGGGUUUAUUGAGGAGAACCAAUUUGGCUGUCUUCCAGCUCGCCGGGAAUAUCCUUGCCUUGAGACAACUGUUGAAGGUUUCA
This is a long non-coding RNA of Ceratina calcarata, 598 nucleotides long. RefSeq lists it as uncharacterized. The transcript has 3 exons. The record is from RefSeq and is a predicted model, not a curated record. Lineage: Eukaryota; Metazoa; Arthropoda; Insecta; Hymenoptera; Apidae.